CUUGCUUCUCUUGAGAGCGGCGGACGGGUGAGUAAUGCCUAGGAAUCUGCCUGGUAGUGGGGGAUAACGUUCGGAAACGGACGCUAAUACCGCAUACGUCCUACGGGAGAAAGCAGGGGACCUUCGGGCCUUGCGCUAUCAGAUGAGCCUAGGUCGGAUUAGCUAGUUGGUGAGGUAAUGGCUCACCAAGGCGACGAUCCGUAACUGGUCUGAGAGGAUGAUCAGUCACACUGGAACUGAGACACGGUCCAGACUCCUACGGGAGGCAGCAGUGGGAAUAUUGGACAAUGGGCGAAAGCCUGAUCCAGCCAUGCCGCGUGUGUGAAGAAGGUCUUCGGAUUGUAAAGCACUUUAAGUUGGGAGGAAGGGCAGUUACCUAAUACGUGAUUGUUUUGACGUUACCGACAGAAUAAGCACCGGCUAACUCUGUGCCAGCAGCCGCGGUAAUACAGAGGGUGCAAGCGUUAAUCGGAAUUACUGGGCGUAAAGCGCGCGUAGGUGGUUAGUUAAGUUGGAUGUGAAAUCCCCGGGCUCAACCUGGGAACUGCAUUCAAAACUGACUGACUUAGAGUAUGGUAGAGGGUGGUGGAAUUUCCUGUGUA
Molecule: ribosomal RNA, 602 nt
Filed under: uncultured bacterium
Lineage: Bacteria
Description: bacterial SSU rRNA
Rfam family: Bacterial small subunit ribosomal RNA
Source: RNAcentral